Molecule: unclassified non-coding RNA, 332 nt
Filed under: soil metagenome
Description: partial contains 5.8S ribosomal RNA, internal transcribed spacer 2, and large subunit ribosomal RNA
Rfam family: 5.8S ribosomal RNA (bases 1-120)
Source: RNAcentral
GAUGAAGAACGUAGCAAAAUGCGAUAAGUAAUGUGAAUUGCAGAAUUCAGUGAAUCAUCGAAUCUUUGAACGCACAUUGCGCCCGCCAGUAUUCUGGCGGGCGUGCCUGUUCGAGCGUCAUUUCAACCCUCAAGCACAGCUUGGUGUUGGGACUCGCGUUAAUUCGCGUUCCUCAAAUUGAUUGGCGGUCACGUCGAGCUUCCAUAGCGUAGUAGUAAAACCCUCGUUACUGGUAAUCGUCGCGGCCACGCCGUUAAACCCCAACUUCUGAAUGUUGACCUCGGAUCAGGUAGGAAUACCCGCUGAACUUAAGCAUAUCAAUAAGCGGAGGA